RNAcentral lists this ribosomal RNA (408 nucleotides) under uncultured bacterium. RNAcentral describes it as "partial 16S ribosomal RNA". It matches the Rfam family "Bacterial small subunit ribosomal RNA", at positions 28 to 526 of the family's 1533-position model. The record is from RNAcentral.
GACGAACGCUGGCGGCGUGCUUAACACAUGCACGUCGAACGAAGUGGCGAACGGGUGAGUAACGCGUAAUCAACCUGCCCUUCAGAGGGGGACCACAGUUGGAAACGACUGCUAAUACCGCAUACUGAAGGAGGGGAUUGCGUCGGAUUCGCUAGUUGGAGGGGUAACGGCCACCAAAGGCGAUGAUCAGUAGCCGGGCUGAGAGGAUGAACGGCCACAUUGGGAAUGGGACACGGCCCAGACUCCUACGGGAGGCAGCAGUGGGGAAUCUUCCGCAAUGGACGAAAGUCUGACGGAGCAACGCCGCGUGAGUGAUGACGGCCGUCGGGUUGGAAAGCUCUGUUAAUCGGGACGCGGUACCGGAAUAGAAAGCCACGGCUAACUACGUGCCAGCAGCCGCGGUAAUAC